RNAcentral lists this small RNA (30 nucleotides) under Bombyx mori (domestic silkworm). RNAcentral's name for it is "ovarian small RNA-24537". Lineage: Eukaryota; Metazoa; Arthropoda; Insecta; Lepidoptera; Bombycidae. The record is from RNAcentral.
UCAACAAGUCUUUUGCCCUUGUAGGCAGAC